Molecule: ribosomal RNA, 629 nt
Filed under: uncultured Actinomycetes bacterium
Lineage: Bacteria; Bacillati; Actinomycetota; Actinomycetes
Description: bacterial SSU rRNA
Rfam family: Bacterial small subunit ribosomal RNA
Source: RNAcentral
UAAGCCANGCCAGUUUGCAUGCCUGCAGUCACACCUUCUAGAGGAGAACCAGAGUUUGUAACUGGUUCAGGAGGAAUGCUGGCGGCGUGCUUAACACAUGCAAGUCGAACGGUUAUGCCCUUCGGGGUACACGAGUGGCGAACGGGUGAGUAACACGUGAGUAACCUGCCCCGGACUCUGGGAUAAGCAUUCGAAAGGGUGUCUAAUACUGGAUAGGACUCCUGCCUGCAUGGGUGGGGGUGGAAAGAUUUUUUGGUUCGGGAUGGGCUCGCGGCCUAUCAGCUUGUUGGUGGGGUGAUGGCCUACCAAGGCGUCGACGGGUAGCCGGCCUGAGAGGGCGACCGGCCACACUGGGACUGAGAUACGGCCCAGACUCCUACGGGAGGCAGCAGUGGGGAAUAUUGCGCAAUGGGCGGAAGCCUGACGCAGCAACGCCGCGUGCGGGAUGACGGCCUUCGGGUUGUAAACCGCUUUCACCCAUGACGAAAAUUUUUUUGACGGUAGUGGGAGAAGAAGCACCGGCCAACUACGUGCCAGCAGCCGCGGUGAUACAUAGGGUGCGAGCGUUGUCCGGAAUUAUUGGGCGUAAAGAGCUUGUAGGCGGUUUGUCGCGUCGGAAGUGAAAACUC